Molecule: ribosomal RNA, 261 nt
Filed under: uncultured archaeon
Lineage: Archaea
Description: partial 16S ribosomal RNA
Rfam family: Archaeal small subunit ribosomal RNA
Source: RNAcentral
CAGCCGUAAACAAUGUGCGUUAGGUAUGUCGGUAACCACGUGUUACUGUUGUGCCGAAGAGAAAUCGUGAAACGCACCACCUGGGAAGUACGGUCGCAAGGCUGAAACUUAAAGGAAUUGGCGGGGGAGCACCACAACAGGUGGAGCCUGCGGUUUAAUUGGAUUCAACGCCGGACAUCUCACCGGAUAAGACAGCUGAAUGAUUGUCAAUCUGAAGGUUUUACAUGACUAGCUGAGAGGUGGUGCAUGGCGUCAGUGACU